RNAcentral lists this ribosomal RNA (455 nucleotides) under uncultured bacterium. RNAcentral's name for it is "bacterial SSU rRNA". It matches the Rfam family "Bacterial small subunit ribosomal RNA", at positions 340 to 786 of the family's 1533-position model. The record is from RNAcentral.
UACGGAAGGCAGCAGUGGGGAAUAUUGCACAAUGGGCGCAAGCCUGAUGCAGCCAUGCCGCGUGUAUGAAGAAGGCCUUCGGGUUGUAAAGUACUUUCAGUCGUGAGGAAGGUGUUAAGGUUAAUAACCUUAGCAAUUGACGUUAGCGACAGAAGAAGCACCGGCUAACUCCGUGCUAGCAGCCGCGGUAAUACGGAGGGUGCGAGCGUUAAUCGGAAUUACUGGGCGUAAAGGGCACGCAGGCGGUUAAUUAAGUUGGAUGUGAAAUCCCCGGGCUUAACCUGGGAAUGGCAUUCAAGACUGGUUAGCUAGAGUCUUGUAGAGGGGGUAGAAUUCCAUGUGUAGCGGUGAAAUGCGUAGAGAUGUGGAGGAAUACCGGUGGCGAAGGCGGCCCCUGGACAAAGACUGACGCUCAUGUGCGAAAGCGUGGGGAGCGAAACAGGGAUUUAGAUACC